GUGCCAGCAGCCGCGGUAAUACGAACUGUGCGAACGUUAUUCGGAAUCACUGGGCUUACAGGGUGCGUAGGCGGCUUCGCCAGUCAGGUGUGAAAGCCCCCGGCUCAACCGGGGAACUGCGCUUGAAACUGCGAGGCUCGAGUCAGCUAGAGGUGCACGGAACUUCCAGUGGAGCGGUGAAAUGUGUUGAUAUUGGAAGGAACACCGGAGGCGAAAGCGGUGCACUGGGGCUGGUCUGACGCUGAGGCACGAAAGCCAGGGGAGCGAACGGGAUUAGAUACCCCCGUAGUCC
Molecule: ribosomal RNA, 292 nt
Filed under: uncultured bacterium
Lineage: Bacteria
Description: partial 16S ribosomal RNA
Rfam family: Bacterial small subunit ribosomal RNA
Source: RNAcentral